AACACGCUCCUUAGAUCCACCUCUGGAGGGUUCUCCUGUGCUGGUGCUGUCGUCGCUCUCUGAGUGCUGCAACUCCAGCCUGGAGGCCCUCAGCAGCUUUCUGGCUGUACAGUUGGAGGUGCUUGAGUCAUUGGUGUGUGUGAGAGCAGUCUACCUGCCUCGCCCAGCCCCACUGUUGCUCUGGCAACCCUCAGUCCUACUAGGGGGAUUCUACCAGCGCAGCUAGGCUGUGGGGCGGACAAC
This is a non-coding RNA of Salmo salar (Atlantic salmon), 243 nucleotides long. The record is from Rfam. Lineage: Eukaryota; Metazoa; Chordata; Actinopteri; Salmoniformes; Salmonidae.